This is a long non-coding RNA of Zingiber officinale, 3108 nucleotides long. RefSeq lists it as uncharacterized. The transcript is spliced from 5 exons. NCBI's taxonomy places the organism in Eukaryota, Viridiplantae, Streptophyta, Magnoliopsida, Zingiberales, Zingiberaceae. The record is from RefSeq and is a predicted model, not a curated record.
CCUUUUCUCAUUUUAAUUCAGGCCUUUGUUACCAACUAUAUAGAACCAUCCUUGUUAGGAUAGUCAUCCAUGUUUAAGUUAGUCAGUGAAUGACUUCCUUGUCGUCUUCUCUUCCAACUCUUCAUUCUAGGAUUAGCUCUCCUGUUAUUAAUAGAGAUUUUGAUGAACAAUAGCCUUGUUAUCUAAAUUUCCUUGCAUAUACUCACUCUUACUGCACUUGCUUCUUGCCAAUGCUAGCAUAGUGAUGCCAAAGGGAAAAAUAGAUUUUGAAGGUCUAUAAGUUCUUAUAAUUUAUUUAUCUUAGAGUCACUUGUAAUAUAUAUAUAUAUAUAUAUAUACCUUGUCACUAUAUGUAUGAAAUUUGUGUUUCAAAUUCCAGCAAUCUUAAUUGAGGACCUUGUAUUGUUUGUUGGGAACAUCAUUUUUUUCUCAUUUGAGUUUCUUUCAGAAAUUCCAAAAGGUGCUAGAUUAUUAUUAGACUGUGAAGCUACAUAAGUGUUACAAGAUAUGCAGGAACACAUGACUGUUCUCUCAGAAGAUUCAAAAAUAAAAAUGCUUGAGUACUGGCUUUGAACCUUUUUCUUUUUGCUGUGCUUUGUUUGCAGAGUAUGUCAUAAUUGGAAAUUGUUAUUCUUUAUGACAUUUUUUCGUAGGUCAUUUAACAAGGCCUUGCAAUAUUCCAAAAUCAACUAUCAUUAUAAAAACGCAAAGGCCGUGCGACAAAUUCUGGAGUAUCCUUCAGUUUCUAACAUGUUAUUUUGCUAACUUUGCAUUAUGUCAAUAUUUGAAGAACAUCUUUCAAUUGGACCAUUAACUUAAAUUUCUAGAACUUUGAAACUAAAUGUGGUUACCAAUGGCCAGAUUUGUACAGUAGCUUAACUAUUGUUGAUUUAUGCAUUUUGAUUCCCCUCAAUUUAGAGCGGUGAUCAAGUCAACAAAGGGGGAGUAAGCUGCUACUUUCAGGUGUAGAACCAUACUUUUAGCUACUGUUGGUAGGAAACCUAAUCUAUGUAAUCACUGUGUGGGAUUGACCUAGUUUAAAAGCUAGGUUUCAGGGAGCAUGAUCGAUUCGACAACUCUAGCCUUCAAAAUAGCUGUUGAGAGCCAAUAAUAUCUGAGUCAUAGGAGCUAUGUACACAAUCUAUUGUUUGCUUGUUCGCAUUUCCUUUAAGAAUCUCAGUUCAUUUUGCUUGCCUUUCGAGGUUGUAACUUGUAGCUGGAAAAUUCUAAUCAUAAUGAAUUUCCAAGUGCAUGCUCUUCUAACUGAUUCCUCACUUUCUACUCUGUUUGACUGCAUCAAGUCUAACAACUUCCGCAAAAGUGAGUUUGGAGUGACUAAUGAAUCUUUCUAAAUGGGUUGCUUUCACUAAUCUCGCUCUCUCUAUUUCUAAAGGUAAUGUAUAACUACAACUUCAGGAAUCCCAUUUUAGCCUUCUUCUUUUUAUUGUGUGUAUAGUUUUUUUCUUUGUUAUGAUAUAAGUACUAAUUUAUACGGUACCAACUAAAUCCUUUCGCAGAUGAAAUACCAUCACAAGUUAAUACAUUUCACUAAAUCUCCACCAAUUGAUCUCCAGUGAUCGGAAAGCAAUCGGUGGCAGUCGCACUAAAACAUCCAUUGGACAUGAUAGCAUUGGCUGCUUGUGUUGGGUGAAAAGAGUCCCAAAAGAGAUAUUGAUCUCUGUUGGAACAUGGACGCUCCAUAGGUAUCAUAGAUGUUGUGGAACACAAAGAAGGAACCCGGCAGAGUGGAGUUCAGCUUGAGCAUUGCUUGUUUGAGGUUUUGGUUGAAUGGCCUCACUAGGUCAUUAACCACUUCAACGCAUCCAGUGGCAUUGGGGUUCAUGGCUAAUUGAUUAGGGAUGCACCCGAGUGGACCGAUCCCAACCAAGAGCAUCUUCCUAGCUCCUAUAUUGUACAUCCUCUGAGAAGGAAUAAUUUUAGUUAUGAAGAUGCAGGCUUACAGUUCCAAAACUGAUACUACUUAUGAAGAUGCAAGUUGUCGACGAGCAGCUUGGCAAAGUCUUCCCCAGAAUAAAUCCUACUAGUGGAGUAGAAUUCGGGAAGAAGAUAGUUGUUGAUAUAGUCAUUGCUUCCGAUGGUGACGAUGAAGAGUGAGCUUGAAAGGUAGUCAGACAGUGCCUCAGGAUCUAAAAGUAGGGUUGUCAACUGUAUCUCAACUGUCUUACCAAACAGCUCAAUCUGCUCAUUGAGGGAAAUCUUGCUUCCCUACAUCACAACACAAUACCUUACUAAUUCCAUUGUGUUUCUUUAAGAAACAUAAUUCAAAACAAGUAGCAAAAGAGAAGAGAGUCGAGUUACGUAAUUGUUUCCAGUCUCAUCAAGAAUGCCUGCAGCAGCCGAUCCAUAGUUCACUCCUCCCAUGAUCAUGGCAGCACCUGAUGGCACACUGAGAUACGGCGGAGGAAAUGGCAAGCCCAGUCUGUGACAGUUAGGCCAUUGCAGAACCGACCGGUCGGGCCAAUGAAGUCGAUACCAUAAGGGUAGUAGUUUGCUCGGGUGACGGAAGCAAUGUAGUUAUUGUUGCCACUGUCAAUGAGGGAGUCACCGAAGAUGAACAUAGCCGGAACUGUUGCACACCUAGUAGUAGUGCAAAAGAGGAGGCCCUGGAGCACCGCCAUGAAGAGGUUGAGUCUCUUCUCCAUUCUCGCGAGGGGCGAGUGAAGGAGGGACUACAACUACUACUGAUUUAAACACUUUUGCUCAUGAGAUGGAAUAGAAAGCACUAUUCUUCUUUGCUUGCCAUUGAUUAUGGCCAUUUAUGUGGAGGAAGUGCUCCCUCAUUCAUUUUUAGAUCACAAUGGGAACCAACUAAAUGGCACAUGAUGACACUGAGGGUGAAAAGUUACAAGAAGAUGACCAUUGGGGGAGUCUAGAAAUAGUACUCUUGCAAGAGAGGUUGUAGGCGAGCAAAUUUAUUCGGCAUGCAAGCAAGGAUGUCUAAGAGAGCCCCUCUCACUCAACCGAUGUGGUGUAUUGGUUAAAUACUCAGCAGAAGAAGAAAGAGAAACAGAGUUUAAAUUCUAAAUGAGAUAAGUAUUUUUAGGUCCGUUUUUAAGUAUAUGUAAGUUAAGUUUCAGAUUUACUUGA